RNAcentral lists this unclassified non-coding RNA (524 nucleotides) under Hevea brasiliensis (rubber tree). Lineage: Eukaryota; Viridiplantae; Streptophyta; Magnoliopsida; Malpighiales; Euphorbiaceae. The record is from RNAcentral.
CUAUUCAUGCACCCCUGAAGAAGUGCAGCUGCACUUCCAAUCUUGUGGGACAGUAAAUAGGAUCACUAUUCGUACAGACAAAUAUGGCCAACCAAAGGGUUAUGCAUAUGUGGAAUUUGUUGAGCCAGAGGCUGUUCAAGAGGCUCUCCUUCUGAAUGAAUCUGAAUUACAUGGCCGCCAAUUGAAGGUGACUGCAAAAAGGACCAAUGUACCAGGAAUGAAGCAGUUCCGUCCACGCCGACCUAACCCUUACAUGGGGUUUCCACCCAGGGGCUCACAUGUGCCGCCUUAUUUCCACUCUCGUUAUGGAUAUGGGAAGGUUCCAAGAUUCAGAAUGCCUAUGCGUUACAGCCCCUACAGCUGAAUGCUAUUUUGCUGGAGGCAGCAUUGCUUCCAGAUGGAAACAUCCAGCGAAAGUAUUAGUUUCCUUUUUAUUGUCAUGGAUCAUAGUGUUUUGGGGAUAUCAAUGAAGAAUGGCAACUUCAUGCGUGUGAAUUGAACAUUAUUUAAAGUUUUUGAUAGAC